GCCCUCGUAGCUCAGCUGGUAGAGCGUGCGCGUACAAAGCGUAGGUGGCGUCCAUGCGUGGGUUCGAAUACAACCGAGGCUA
This 82-nucleotide transfer RNA is filed under the name Echinostoma caproni. It matches the Rfam family "tRNA". Rfam says of the family: Transfer RNA (tRNA) molecules are approximately 80 nucleotides in length. Their secondary structure includes four short double-helical elements and three loops (D, anti-codon, and T loops). The record is from Rfam by way of RNAcentral. Lineage: Eukaryota; Metazoa; Platyhelminthes; Trematoda; Plagiorchiida; Echinostomatidae.